RNAcentral lists this ribosomal RNA (518 nucleotides) under uncultured bacterium. Its description in RNAcentral is "bacterial SSU rRNA". It matches the Rfam family "Bacterial small subunit ribosomal RNA", at positions 9 to 526 of the family's 1533-position model. The record is from RNAcentral.
GAGUUUGAUCCUGGCUCAGGAUGAACGCUGGCGGCGUGCUUAACACAUGCAAGUCGAACGGGAAAUAUUUCAUUGAGACUUCGGUGGAUUUGAUCUAUUUCUAGUGGCGGACGGGUGAGUAACGCGUGGGUAACCUGCCCUGGAGUGGGGGACAACAGUUGGAAACGGCUGCUAAUACCGCAUAAGCCCACGAUCCGGCAUCGGAUUGAGGGAAAAGGAUUUAUUCGCUUCAGGAUGGACUCGCGUCCAAUUAGCUAGUUGGUGAGGUAACGGCCCACCAAGGCGACGAUUGGUAGCCGGCCUGAGAGGGUGAACGGCCACAUUGGGACUGAGACACGGCCCAGACUCCUACGGGAGGCAGCAGUGGGGAAUAUUGCACAAUGGGGGAAACCCUGAUGCAGCGACGCCGCGUGAAGGAAGAAGUAUCUCGGUAUGUAAACUUCUAUCAGCAGGGAAGAUAGUGACGGUACCUGACUAAGAAGCCCCGGCUAACUACGUGCCAGCAGCCGCGGUAAUAC